Tupaia belangeri chinensis (Chinese tree shrew) is the source of this 269-nucleotide long non-coding RNA. RefSeq lists it as uncharacterized. The transcript is spliced from 3 exons. The record is from RefSeq and is a predicted model, not a curated record. Lineage: Eukaryota; Metazoa; Chordata; Mammalia; Scandentia; Tupaiidae.
AGCAAGGGGCUGCCCACGGCGGGCUGGGUUUCGGAACCACUCCGGACUGGUGGAGGGCAGCUCACCCAGAAGCCCGGUCCGUGUGUGUGCCUGGUACCAACACUGAGAUGGUGGACUUCGGACCGAGCCCGGUGCCAUGCUGGUUAGACUCUGAGCUCGAGGAUGCCGGGGCAGUUCCUCGAUGGAGAACAGACUGCAGGACACGCGGAACCAGGACACUGCCGUGAGCAUCGCCUGACACGCCAUCUCCCUGGGACUCAGACACCCAG